Molecule: ribosomal RNA, 371 nt
Filed under: Burkholderia sp. RegSD79
Lineage: Bacteria; Pseudomonadati; Pseudomonadota; Betaproteobacteria; Burkholderiales; Burkholderiaceae
Description: bacterial SSU rRNA
Rfam family: Bacterial small subunit ribosomal RNA
Source: RNAcentral
UGGACCUGCUGAGAGGUGGGGGUGCCCGAAAGGGAGCCAUAACACAGGUGCUGCAUGGCUGUCGUCAGCUCGUGUCGUGAGAUGUUGGGUUAAGUCCCGCAACGAGCGCAACCCUUGUCCCUAGUUGCUACGCAAGAGCACUCCAGGGAGACUGCCGGUGACAAACCGGAGGAAGGUGGGGAUGACGUCAAGUCCUCAUGGCCCUUAUGGGUAGGGCUUCACACGUCAUACAAUGGUCGGAACAGAGGGUCGCCAACCCGCGAGGGGGAGCCAAUCCCAGAAAACCGAUCGUAGUCCGGAUCGCACUCUGCAACUCGAGUGCGUGAAGCUGGAAUCGCUAGUAAUCGCGGAUCAGCAUGCCGCGGUGAAUA